AACGAACGCUGGCGGCACGUUUUAAGCAUGCAAGUCGAAUGGCAGUGGGGGCAACCCCAUGAGAAUGGCGAACGGGUGAGUAACACGUAGGUGAUCUGCCUGACGGAUGGGGAUAGCUUGUGGAAACACAGGGUAAUACCGAAUGAGCUGACGAGACUUUGGUUUUGUUAGUAAAGGUGCUACGGCACCGCCGACAGAGGAGCCUGCGGCUGAUUAGCUAGUUGGUGGGGUAAAGGCCUACCAAGGCGACGAUCAGUAGCCGGCCUGAGAGGGUGUACGGCCACACUGAAACUGAGACACGGUCCAGACUCCUACGGGAGGCAGCAGCUAAGAAUCUUCCGCAAUGGGCGAAAGCCUGAUGGAGCGAUGCCGCGUGAUCGAUGAAGGUCGAGAGAUUGUAAAGAUCUUUUCUACAUGAGGAAUAAGUCUGGGAGGGAAUGCCUGGAUGAUGACGUUAGUGUAGGAAUAAGCCCCGGCUAAUUACGUGCCAGCCGCCGCAGUAA
Molecule: ribosomal RNA, 503 nt
Filed under: uncultured bacterium
Lineage: Bacteria
Description: partial 16S ribosomal RNA
Rfam family: Bacterial small subunit ribosomal RNA
Source: RNAcentral